This 680-nucleotide ribosomal RNA is filed under the name uncultured organism. RNAcentral describes it as "bacterial SSU rRNA". It matches the Rfam family "Bacterial small subunit ribosomal RNA", at positions 824 to 1510 of the family's 1533-position model. The record is from RNAcentral.
GGGGAUUUUGACCGUCCCCGUGCCGUAGCUAACGCGUUAAGUGCGCCGCUGGGAGUACGGCCGCAAGGCUAAAACUCAAAGAAAUUGACGGGGGCCCGCACAAGCGGAGGAGCAUGUGGCUUAAUUCGAUGCAACGCGAAGAACCUUACCAGGGCUUGACAUGCAGCUGCACGUCCGUCGAAAGGCGGAAAGCUUUCGAAGGCGCUGCACAGGUGGUGCAUGGCUGUCGUCAGUUCGUGCCGUGAGGUGUUUGGUUAAGUCCAGCAACGAACGCAACCCCUGUGUUUAGUUGCCACCGCGGGUGAUGAGCCUGCGAGCACUCUAGACAGACUGCCCGUACAAGCGGGAGGAAGGUGGGGAUGACGUCAAGUCAGUAUGUCCCUUAUGUCCUGGGCUGCACACGUGCUACAAUGGUCGGUACAAUGGGAAGCGAAGCCGCGAGGCGAAGCAAAUCCCCAAAGCCGGCCCCAGUUCGGAUUGGAGUCUGCAAUUCGACUCCAUGAAGUUGGAUUCGCUAGUAACGGCGUAUCAGCUACGACGCCGUGAAUACGUUCCCGGGCCUUGUACACACCGCCCGUCACAUCAUGAAAGCCGUCUGCACCCGAAGUCCCCGACUAGUUCGAGGCCGAAGGUGUGGGUGGUGAUUGGGAUGAAGUCGUAACAAGGUAACCAAGGGCGAA